GUUGGGAAUCUUGCGCAAUGGGCGAAAGCCUGACGCAGCGACGCCGCGUGUGGGAUGACGGUCUUCGGAUUGUAAACCACUUUUUUCGGGGACGAUGAUGACGGUACCCGAGGAAUAAGCCCCGGCUAACUCCGUGCCAGCAGCCGCGGUAAGACGGAGGGGGCUAGCGUUGUCCGGAAUUACUGGGCGUAAAGGGCAUGUAGGCGGUCGCGUACGGCGGUGGUGAAAGCUCCCGGCUCAACUGGGAGAGGCCCUCCGCAACGGCGUGACUCGAGGCAGGUAGGGGCAAACGGAAUUCCUGGUGUAGCGGUGAUAUGCGUAGAGAUCAGGAGGAACACCCGUGGCGAAGGCGGUUUGCUGGGCCUGUUCUGACGCUGAGGUGCGAAAGCCAGGGGAGCGAACGGGAUUAGAAACCCGAGUAGUCC
This 425-nucleotide ribosomal RNA is filed under the name uncultured bacterium. Its description in RNAcentral is "partial 16S ribosomal RNA". It matches the Rfam family "Bacterial small subunit ribosomal RNA", at positions 354 to 796 of the family's 1533-position model. The record is from RNAcentral.